UCCAACUUAAUACCAUAAUUAUAUUAAACUCCUACAAACUACCGGACAAAUCUACAACAUAGAUACUCAAAUGUUAAAACUAGUAAUAAGAAAAAUUUCUCUUCCGCACAAGUAAACACUAACAGACACAACAACUGAACACACAACAACACAAGAAAAUCCACACUACCCAAACUGUUAACCCACCUCAGGAGUGCAUAAAGAAAGAUUAAAAGUUACAAAAGGAACUCGGCAACCAAAGUCCCAACUGUUUACCAAAAACAUAGCCUUUAGCCAAACAAGUAUUAAAGGUGAUGCCUGCCCAGUGAUUCUUUCAACGGCCGCGGGAUCCUACACCGUGCAAAGGUAGCAUAAUCACUUGUCACCUAAAUAGUGACUAGUAUGAACGGCCCAAUGAGGACUUUCCUGUCUCUUGUAAUCAAUCAAUGAAACUGAUCUCCCAGUUCAAAAGCUGGGAUCAACCCACAAGACGAAAAGACCCUGUGGAACUUCCAAGUGCUAGUCAAUAACAUGAUAAACCACUUUUAGUUGGGGCAACUUUGGAACAAAGCAAAACUUCCAAUAUAGGGACAAUACACCGUAAAUCCAGGCCUACACGCCGAAAUUUAAACCCGAAUCGACCCAGUACUACUGAUUAAAGAAACAAGCUACCCCAGGGAUAACAGCGCCAUCCCCUCUUAGAGUCCCAAUCGACGAGGGGGCUUACGACCUCGAUGUUGGAUCAGGGCCCCCAAACAGUGCAGCAGCUGUAAAGGUUUGU
RNAcentral lists this ribosomal RNA (760 nucleotides) under Cnemidophorus vanzoi. Its description in RNAcentral is "partial 16S ribosomal RNA". It matches the Rfam family "Bacterial large subunit ribosomal RNA", at positions 1620 to 2576 of the family's 2925-position model. Lineage: Eukaryota; Metazoa; Chordata; Lepidosauria; Squamata; Teiidae. The record is from RNAcentral.